Molecule: ribosomal RNA, 468 nt
Filed under: uncultured bacterium
Lineage: Bacteria
Description: partial 16S ribosomal RNA
Rfam family: Bacterial small subunit ribosomal RNA
Source: RNAcentral
GACGAACGCUGGCGGCGUGCUUAACACAUGCAAGUCGAACGGAAAGGCCCUGCUUUUGUGGGGUGCUCGAGUGGCGAACGGGUGAGUAACACGUGAGUAACCUGCCCUUGACUUUGGGAUAACUUCAGGAAACUGGGGCUAAUACCGGAUAGGAGCUCCUGCUGCAUGGUGGGGGUUGGAAAGUUUCGGCGGUUGGGGAUGGACUCGCGGCUUAUCAGCUUGUUGGUGGGGUAGUGGCUUACCAAGGCUUUGACGGGUAGCCGGCCUGAGAGGGUGACCGGCCACAUUGGGACUGAGAUACGGCCCAGACUCCUACGGGAGGCAGCAGUGGGGAAUAUUGCACAAUGGGCCGAAGCCUGAUGCAGCAACGCCGCGUGCGGGAUGACGGCCUUCGGGUUGUAAACCGCUUUCGCCUGUGACGAGGCGUGAGUGACGGUAAUGGGUAAAGAAGCACCGGCUAACUACGUG